This 491-nucleotide ribosomal RNA is filed under the name uncultured bacterium. RNAcentral describes it as "partial 16S ribosomal RNA". It matches the Rfam family "Bacterial small subunit ribosomal RNA", at positions 29 to 507 of the family's 1533-position model. The record is from RNAcentral.
GUGAACGCUGGCGGUAGGCCUAACACCUGCAAGUCGAACGGCAGCACAGUAAGAGCUUGCUCUUACGGGUGGCGAGUGGCGGACGGGUGAGGAAUACAUCGGAAUCUACUUUUUCGUGGGGGAUAACGUAGGGAAACUUACGCUAAUACCGCAUACGACCUACGGGUGAAAGCAGGGGAUCGUCGGACCUUGCGCGAUUGAAUGAGCCGAUGUCGGAUUAGCUAGUUGGCGGGGUAAAGGCCCACCAAGGCGACGAUCCGUAGCUGGUCUGAGAGGAUGAUCAGCCACACUGGAACUGAGACACGGUCCAGACUCCUACGGGAGGCAGCAGUGGGGAAUAUUGGACAAUGGGCGCAAGCCUGAUCCAGCCAUACCGCGUGGGUGAAGAAGGCCUUCGGGUUGUAAAGCCCUUUUGUUGGGAAAGAAAAGCAGCAGGUUAAUACCCCGCUGUUCUGACGGUACCCAAAGAAUAAGCACCGGCUAACUUCGUG